GACGAACGCUGGCGGCGUGCUUAACACAUGCAAGUCGAACGGAAAGGCCUGCUUUCCCUUGUGGAUUGCGGGUACUCGAGUGGCGAACGGGUGAGUAACACGUGAGUGAUCUGCCCCCAACUUGGGUAUAAGCCUGGGAAACUGUGUCUAAUUCCCGAUAGGACUGCAGGGUGGUGCCUGUGGUGGAAAACGAUUUUCUAGUGGUUGGGGAUGAGCUCGCGGCCUAUCAGCUUGUUGGUGGGGUAAUGGCCUAUCAAGGCGGCGACGGGUAGCCGGCCUGGGAGGGUGGACGGACACAUUGGGACUGAGAUACGGCCCAGACUCCUACGGGAGGCAGCAGUGGGGAAUAUUGCACGAUGGGCGGAAGCCUGAUGCAGCGACGCCGCGUGGGGGAUGACGGCCUUCGGGUUGUAAACUCCUUUCGACCGCGAGGAAGCCACCUGGUUGGAAGGGUGGUGACGGUAGUGGUAGAAGAAGCACCGGCUAACUACGUG
Molecule: ribosomal RNA, 494 nt
Filed under: uncultured bacterium
Lineage: Bacteria
Description: partial 16S ribosomal RNA
Rfam family: Bacterial small subunit ribosomal RNA
Source: RNAcentral